RNAcentral lists this ribosomal RNA (447 nucleotides) under uncultured bacterium. RNAcentral describes it as "bacterial SSU rRNA". It matches the Rfam family "Bacterial small subunit ribosomal RNA", at positions 355 to 825 of the family's 1533-position model. The record is from RNAcentral.
UCGAGAAUUUUGGGCAAUGGGGGAAACCCUGACCCAGCAACGCCGCGUGAAGGAUGAAGUAUUUCGGUAUGUAAACUUCGAAAGAAUAGGAAGAAUAAAUGACGGUACUAUUUAUAAGGUCCGGCUAACUACGUGCCAGCAGCCGCGGUAAUACGUAGGGACCAAGCGUUGUUCGGAUUUACUGGGCGUAAAGGGCGCGUAGGCGGCAAUUCAAGUCAUCUGUGAAAUCUCCGGGCUUAACUCGGAACGGUCAGAUGAUACUGCUUUGCUAGAGUGCAGAAGGGGCAAUCGGAAUUCUUGGUGUAGCGGUGAAAUGCGUAGAUAUCAAGAGGAACACCUGAGGUGAAGACGGGUUGCUGGGCUGACACUGACGCUGAGGCGCGAAAGCCAGGGGAGCAAACGGGAUUAGAUACCCGGGUAGUCCCUGAGCGGGCUGGCAAGGCGCAU